Molecule: ribosomal RNA, 253 nt
Filed under: uncultured bacterium
Lineage: Bacteria
Description: partial 16S ribosomal RNA
Rfam family: Bacterial small subunit ribosomal RNA
Source: RNAcentral
UACGAAGGUGGCUAGCGUUGUUCGGAAUUACUGGGCGUAAAGCGCGCGUAGGCGGACCUGCAAGUCGGGGGUGAAAGCCCGAGGCUCAACCUCGGAACUGCCUUCGAUACUGCGGGUCUCGAGUCCGGGAGAGGUGAGUGGAAUUCCUAGUGUAGAGGUGAAAUUCGUAGAUAUUAGGAAGAACACAAGUGGCGAAGGCGGCUCACUGGCCCGGUACUGACGCUGAGGCGCGAAAGCGUGGGGAGCAAACAGG